This 157-nucleotide non-coding RNA is filed under the name Pongo abelii (Sumatran orangutan). Lineage: Eukaryota; Metazoa; Chordata; Mammalia; Primates; Hominidae. The record is from RNAcentral.
GGAAGGGAUGAUGGCACUCCUAUCCUUACACACAGGUAACAAUCCUUACAGGCUGUUAUCACCAGGGCUCUCACCACACCUGGCCUGCCAGCAAUUUUAGAAUUCAACGUUUCUCACAUCUGGGCAGGGUGCUGUGGCUCACGUCUUUAAUCCAAGC